AUGACAGGCGAUGUGCAUCAUGAAGCUAAAGCUCAAGAUAUCAUCGAGUUUACUUCCCUGCCCACUCUAGGUGAGCUCUAUGAACCUGGUUGUCAGUUACACAUGAAUGCUCUGGAGAGUAUAUUUCAGAAGCCUGAGCCAAACAUGAGUUAG
Molecule: ribosomal RNA, 153 nt
Filed under: Triticum aestivum (bread wheat)
Lineage: Eukaryota; Viridiplantae; Streptophyta; Magnoliopsida; Poales; Poaceae
Description: partial small subunit ribosomal RNA
Source: RNAcentral